RNAcentral lists this ribosomal RNA (492 nucleotides) under uncultured Bacteroidota bacterium. RNAcentral describes it as "bacterial SSU rRNA". It matches the Rfam family "Bacterial small subunit ribosomal RNA", at positions 355 to 845 of the family's 1533-position model. Lineage: Bacteria; Pseudomonadati; Bacteroidota. The record is from RNAcentral.
UGAGGAAUAUUGGUCAAUGGACGCAAGUCUGAACCAGCCAUGCCGCGUGAAGGAUGAAGGCGUUCUGCGUUGUAAACUUCUUUUAUUAGGGAAGAAACCUGAUUUUUCUAAAUCAGCCGACGGUACCUAAGGAAUAAGCACCGGCUAACUCCGUGCCAGCAGCCGCGGUAAUACGGAGGGUGCAAGCGUUAUCCGGAUUUACUGGGUUUAAAGGGUGUGUAGGCGGACUUUUAAGUCCGUGGUGAAAUCUCCGGGCUCAACCCGGAAACUGCCAUGGAUACUAUUGGUCUUGAAUAUUGUUGAGGUGGGCGGAACGGGUCAUGUAGCGGUGAAAUGCAUAGAUAUGACCCGGAACACCGAUUGCGAAGGCAGCCCACUAAGCAAUGAUUGACGCUGAGGCACGAAAAGCGUGGGGAUCAAACAGGAUUAGAUACCCUGGUAGUCCACGCCCUAAACGAAUGAUACUCGACGUUGGCGAUACACUGAUCAGCG